This 631-nucleotide ribosomal RNA is filed under the name Escherichia coli. RNAcentral's name for it is "partial 23S ribosomal RNA". It matches the Rfam family "Bacterial large subunit ribosomal RNA", at positions 419 to 1051 of the family's 2925-position model. The record is from RNAcentral. Lineage: Bacteria; Pseudomonadati; Pseudomonadota; Gammaproteobacteria; Enterobacterales; Enterobacteriaceae.
GGGACACGUGGUAUCCUGUCUGAAUAUGGGGGGACCAUCCUCCAAGGCUAAAUACUCCUGACUGACCGAUAGUGAACCAGUACCGUGAGGGAAAGGCGAAAAGAACCCCGGCGAGGGGAGUGAAAAAGAACCUGAAACCGUGUACGUACAAGCAGUGGGAGCCUCUUAAUGGGGUGACUGCGUACCUUUUGUAUAAUGGGUCAGCGACUUAUAUUCUGUAGCAAGGUUAACCGAAUAGGGGAGCCGAAGGGAAACCGAGUCUUAACUGGGCGUUAAGUUGCAGGGUAUAGACCCGAAACCCGGUGAUCUAGCCAUGGGCAGGUUGAAGGUUGGGUAACACUAACUGGAGGACCGAACCGACUAAUGUUGAAAAAUUAGCGGAUGACUUGUGGCUGGGGGUGAAAGGCCAAUCAAACCGGGAGAUAGCUGGUUCUCCCCGAAAGCUAUUUAGGUAGCGCCUCGUGAAUUCAUCUCCGGGGGUAGAGCACUGUUUCGGCAAGGGGGUCAUCCCGACUUACCAACCCGAUGCAAACUGCGAAUACCGGAGAAUGUUAUCACGGGAGACACACGGCGGGUGCUAACGUCCGUCGUGAAGAGGGAAACAACCCAGACCGCCAGCUAAGGUCCCAAA